ACAGGUUUUGUGAUUCUCUCUGAAGUCAAAGGGAGUCACCUAAAUAGAAGAGAGAAGCAAAGUGAACUGAUUUCAAAAUCUGAAUGAGCUUGGGAAAGAUUUGUCACUGUUCAUCCAGCUCUUGAUGUGAACCAGGGUGACAGUCGGUGCUGUUGGUGGGGUCAUGA
Molecule: long non-coding RNA, 167 nt
Filed under: Struthio camelus australis
Lineage: Eukaryota; Metazoa; Chordata; Aves; Struthioniformes; Struthionidae
Description: lncRNA (ENSSCUG00000002704.1)
Source: RNAcentral